Molecule: long non-coding RNA, 759 nt
Organism: Cyprinus carpio (common carp)
Lineage: Eukaryota; Metazoa; Chordata; Actinopteri; Cypriniformes; Cyprinidae
Source: Ensembl
AGGACUUCAGAAACAGAGAAAGAGGGAGGGGGGGUGUGUGCGUGUGUGUGUGUGUGUGUGUGCGUGAGGGAGACAGAAGAGAAAGAGAUAGAGAUAUAGAGAGAGAAUGAAAGAGAGAGCAGAGAAGACAGCAGCACGAAAAGGGACAGCGUAGUCGUUGCUCCGCACUAACUAAAUAAAAUAAUAGAUAUUUUAUUCUCAGGUACUGAUCAUAUUGAUCAAAGCUUUUGUGAAUUUUUAAGUGAUAUGCGCUAUAAAGUGUGUUCUCAUCUAGCUUUGGAGUCUCAUGUAACUAUGCAAGAUCUUUAACCAUAUACACUGAGGCGAAAAAGGCGCAACUCACAGUAUGCAAAGCGUAAGUGACCGAUUUAAAAAUAAAAGUUAUUUUGGAUACUCGACUUGAAACGGACUGGUGACUUUGAAUUGAAGUCUCCCGCGUGAUGAAAUGGUGAAAACCUGCAACUUCAGCUUGAGAGUGAGUCAACAAGCAUCUUCUGUUCAGCACAGCAAGGUUCCAGAUUUGAGAUCUUCACUUGGAUUAAAUUCUGUCAUCUGGACUAACGCCUUCACAAAGACAAUAAUCAAAACGAGAACUUGUACAGCUUGUGGUGUUCUGGGAAACUGCAAUAUCACCUUUCUAUAAACCAUUUGCAGCCAUCAGUGGAUCUACACGGAAUGGAGGAAUAUUCUGUCCCAUUAGUCUGAAACAGCAACGCACUUGCAGAACAUCAGGAGAAUAAAUUAAAAAGUCUUCCAGCA